UAUGUAGGGGGCAAGCGUUGUCCGGAAUUACUAGGCGUAAAGGGCAGGCAGGCGGAUCCAUAAGUUUAUCGUUUAAGGCGUCGGCUUAACCGGCGUAGGGCGGUAGAUACUGUGGAUCUGGAAUGCGGUUGGGGAAGACAGAAUUCCUGGUGUAGCGGUGGAAUGCGCAGAGAUCAGGAGGAAUACCGAAGGCGAAGGCAGUCUUCCAAGCCGUUAUUGACGCUCAACUGCGAAGGUGUGGGUAUCAAACAGGAUUAGAUACCCUGGUAGUCCCU
RNAcentral lists this ribosomal RNA (275 nucleotides) under uncultured prokaryote. Its description in RNAcentral is "partial 16S ribosomal RNA". It matches the Rfam family "Bacterial small subunit ribosomal RNA", at positions 524 to 798 of the family's 1533-position model. The record is from RNAcentral.